This 470-nucleotide ribosomal RNA is filed under the name uncultured bacterium. RNAcentral's name for it is "bacterial SSU rRNA". It matches the Rfam family "Bacterial small subunit ribosomal RNA", at positions 46 to 511 of the family's 1533-position model. The record is from RNAcentral.
GCCUUACCAUGCAGUCGAACGGCAGCAUAGGAGCUUGCUCCUGAUGGCGAGUGGCGAACGGGUGAGUAAUAUAUCGGAACGUGCCCUAGAGUGGGGGAUAACUAGUCGAAAGACUAGCUAAUACCGCAUACGAUCUACGGAUGAAAGUGGGGGAUCGCAAGACCUCAUGCUCCUGGAGCGGCCGAUAUCUGAUUAGCUAGUUGGUGGGGUAAAAGCCUACCAAGGCAACGAUCAGUAGCUGGUCUGAGAGGACGACCAGCCACACUGGGACUGAGACACGGCCCAGACUCCUACGGGAGGCAGCAGUGGGGAAUUUUGGACAAUGGGGGCAACCCUGAUCCAGCAAUGCCGCGUGAGUGAAGAAGGCCUUCGGGUUGUAAAGCUCUUUUGUCAGGGAAGAAACGGUAGUAGCGAAUAACUACUACUAAUGACGGUACCUGAAGAAUAAGCACCGGCUAACUACGUGCCAG